AAAAUAUUGCCUACCAAAUUAUCGAAAGAAAUAGGUCGUGUGGCUGUUAUACCGAUUGUUCUUUUAAAAUGUAGAAAGGACAGGUGGCGGCGUUGACUAGACUUUUUAAAGGCUUCAGUAUUGUGGCGCUUGAAAGUGAACUAGCUAAGGUGAUAGACCUAAGGGUAGGCUACAUUGAAUUUGGCCAAAUGUCUCAGAGGUGUCCUUUUGAUCAACUUGCAAUUUUCUGCACUGGUCAGCUCCGUUGGCGGGAUAACGGAGGUGAUCGAAGUUCUGAACAGUAGACGUAGCCUAUCUAAACAGACCGUUCGUGAUUAGGUAGGUGACUUAUCUGAUCUAUCUAGAUCUAUUUAAUUGCGAAACAUGUUUCUAAACAACGAGAAAUAUUGCUGUUACCCUAUUAUGUUCAAUUGUUGAAACAUAUUGCCAACCAACGAGAAACGUUGUUAUUAGGCUACUCUAUAAUACUGAACAAAGAAGUUACUUAUAGGUCUAUUGAAAGUUAGCACAUGAUUCAGCUUAAAUCAAUAUGUGGAAUGUCAUAUUGAAUACCAUAUAUAGACCUUACAGACAUAGCCCAUACAAUCGGCUUGAUGUUAUUUAGAUGUGAUGUGACUGCAACAGUUGGUUAAUAGGCCUAAAUGAAGUAACCUUAUUCCAAACAAUAGGCCUAAGUGGGAGAGGUGAAUGUGGUUUGGGACUGCACAGGACCAUCACAUUUGUUGAAUCAGGGAUAUUCUUCGCGACAGACUUCAUGAUAGAUUGAGCUGAAACAAAGUGGGCCUGGGCCUAUCACUAAGUCACUAAAAUAGAUGUUUCAUUGCUCCUGUAUUUCGUAAACCUACAUACACUUCUAUAUUUGUUGCCUUUUCAUAUCGCCCAUUGUUCAUUAAUUUGUGGAGGCUACUUCCAAAUUCCACAUUCCACCAUUAUGAAUUGUGCAUCAUAUAUUCCCUUUAUUAUAUAAUAGUUGACGGCACCAACAUGGAACCUCUACUUCAUGGACUUCAUGUAGUGGUCAGUCUUAUCUCAUGGUUGUCAAAUAUAGGGACCAGACCUAGAUUUUACCCCAGUUCCAUUGUGGCAUCUCAAAACCCUUUCUCCUCCUCCCAAUCCUU
Molecule: long non-coding RNA, 1118 nt
Organism: Clupea harengus (Atlantic herring)
Lineage: Eukaryota; Metazoa; Chordata; Actinopteri; Clupeiformes; Clupeidae
Source: Ensembl